CAUCCAGCAGUAUUGUUUCCUUUGGGUCCUGCUCUACAUAGAAGCAAGGAGGUGCUAAGCGAAUCAGUGAGAAUGACGACCCGUAUAGCUCCGGGUGUGGGAGCAAAUCUUCUGGGGCAACACUCAGCGGAGCGCAACCAAGACGCCACCGCCUAUGUUGGCAACCUCGACCCUCAGAUUACUGAAGAGUUGUUAUGGGAGUUGUUUGUUCAAGCAGGUCCAGUAGUCAAUGUUUAUGUCCCCAAGGACAGAGUUACUAAUGCUCAUCAAGGAUACGGUUUUGUGGAAUUCCGAAGUGAAGAAGAUGCUGACUAUGCAAUUAAGGUACUGAAUAUGAUUAAACUUUAUGGGAAACCAAUACGAGUGAAUAAGGCAUCUCAAGAUAAAAAGAGUGUUGAUGUUGGUGCCAACUUGUUUGUUGGGAACCUUGAUCCUGUAAGCAGUAGAUAUCUUUGACAGUAUUUUACAAACUCUUGUGCUAUUCUCAUUCAAAUGUGUCUGGACGUAGACAGUGGAUAACAGCUUUUAUUUAGGAUGUAGAUGAGAAGCUUCUAUACGACACUUUUAGUGCUUUUGGAGUUGUUGUCUCAAAUCCAAAGGUUUAAGUCAUUUCUCUUCUACUUUCAUAUGAUUCAUGAUUCUUCAUUUUGCUGCUUUUAAAGAUGCGUGUCUGGACUUCCUACGUAGUAAAGAAAAAAGAAGAGCUCAAUCUGUAUUGAUUAAUUCUUGCCUAUUUUGUAUCCCUGCUUCAGAUUAUGUUUUUAAAUCCUAACAAUCUGCUAGUGAGUAUUGUAUCCAUACAUCCUCUAACAAACAUCUAGCCCUUGUAAAGUUGAUUCUCUAGGUUCUCUCUUGCCCUUUAUUUUCAUUUUUCAAUUGGGUGGGGGGAGCCCAAAAAAGACAGUUCCUUGAUGGUUGCAAUGUCAUUAAUGAUUGUCCUCCUUACUUAGCGUAGAGAUAUUGACCAAACUGCUAGUGCAUUCCGAUUUAGUUUGAACAUUGAGCCAUUUUUUUCUUCAUUUAAUAAUCAAUAUACAUCUUUCAAAUUACUCGCCCUGGCAAACAUAGCACUAGCAGAUCAUCAAAAAACUGUAGGUGGUUCACUUUUACACCACCUUGCGUUAACAUCUAUCUCUGCAUCACUUAAGACAACUCUCACUACUUUGUUGUCCAUCACGGUACUAAGUGCUUCUGGUAUUAAUAUGAUGAGCAUGCAUCUAAUAUUUGUCUCCUUUCCGUAAAAGCAUUUUGAGAUGUUGAUCCAUUACAUCUAGUACCUAGCCUCAAUGACCUUGUUAGUCUGGCAAAAGCACCUUAACAAUAUAUCUUAUUGUUGUUUCCCACUUGACCUAAAUAUAAAGUCUCUGGUUUUGAAUGUCCUUCGGGAUGAGUGCUAUCAAAGAUGUAUUGAAACUUCUGAAUACUUGACCAUGUUCUAGCAUUGGUGAAAUAGUGGCCAUUUUGAAGCCAUCAAUGGCUAGUUUUUUUCUCCCGCACAGCUUUUAAAUACCUCCCAGACGUGCUAAUUAACCCGGUCUUUAGUUCAUUGCCAGUACUUCUUCUUUCCCUUUUCUUCUUGCUCCUCAAACUUCCCCGAAUGCUUGGUGAAAUCAGGAAGAACUUCAUCCUCCUCCUGAAUGGCUGGCAGCUCAUUUUAUCCUACCCCACCAUCACAACUCUCAUCUUUUUUUGUA
This is an RNA transcript of Lycium ferocissimum, 1694 nucleotides long. RefSeq lists it as uncharacterized. Lineage: Eukaryota; Viridiplantae; Streptophyta; Magnoliopsida; Solanales; Solanaceae. The transcript is spliced from 7 exons. The record is from RefSeq and is a predicted model, not a curated record.